GGAAAAAUCAUCUUCGCUUCAGUCUCUUGCUAGAGGUCCAGACUGCUUACGUCUGAGCGCCCCUUAUCAUUUCAGUGAAUGGCAAUUGCAGCCUUGGUGCUGUUAUAGCAAUGAAGCUACAGACGUCAUUGCCUCCUGUUGGACGUGAGAUGUGUCCAAGCAUCAGCCCCUUUUGCUCAAGAAAAACUCUUUAACUUCCACGCAGCCGACAGGCAAGCUUUUCUAAGAACCUGUGGACCCAACGUUGUACUGAUAGAGUUAUAUCUUUUUAUUUAUAUAUACAUAUACACAUACACAGGUGUGUAUGUGUGUAAGUACCUAUGUAUAGAGAGAGACAGAUAAAUUAAAGCCGCAGCUAUAUUGCAAGCUCCUCUAAAAUUUCCUGCUCGUCAGAGUAGCUCUCUGCAUCGUUUUGUUAAAUACAGCCCGGCGGGAAAGCAAUCAUCAAUCAAUUUCGGGUAACAAGGAAGACUUGUUGAGCACCUUGUUCUCCAGACCCCGGGAAGAUGCUGGGCUGCUGGAGCGUGGAAGAGCCAGGAUUGUGCCCUGAACUUCACCCACUUGGCAGCAGCUAUUCCUAAACAAUUUCCCCUCUCCUCCCCUGCCUCUUUGCCUCCCGGACUGACUGAGAAUCUGCUCUUUAAAGUUGAUCUGAAGGGGAAAGCAGAGACGAGAUUGUGCAUAGUUUGGAGGGAAAAAGAAAGAAAAGAAAAUUAUCAAGGGAAACUUAAUCCAUCUGUCUCUCCAAAAGCUAAAUUACUCAGAGUGCUGUGA
Long non-coding RNA from Corvus moneduloides (New Caledonian crow), 774 nucleotides. The record is from Ensembl. Lineage: Eukaryota; Metazoa; Chordata; Aves; Passeriformes; Corvidae.